GUGAGAAGCUAUUUAAUACGAUUUUGCCAUGAGAGUGGGAAAUUAACUAAGGUGAGAACCGACAAUCGCGAGAGCGUGAGGGUCGAACUAGAUAGUAAAAACUAGGCAUUGAUUUUAAAAACAGCGAGAGCACUUUAAAAGCAAUUAGAACUUAUCUAUUUUCAAAAAGUAUUUUUAACUUCAAAUGGGACAGCGAGAGCGUAC
This 204-nucleotide long non-coding RNA is filed under the name Lathyrus oleraceus (garden pea). RNAcentral's name for it is "Pisum sativum (pea) long non-coding RNA (PSAT_LNC001032)". The record is from RNAcentral. Lineage: Eukaryota; Viridiplantae; Streptophyta; Magnoliopsida; Fabales; Fabaceae.